CCAUUCUCUUUCUGCCCUGCGCCUGCCCAGCCCUCCUACUCUGGUGGCCGAGGGUCACGGGGCAGGGGCCGGCGCUGGGUGGGGUGGCGG
RNAcentral lists this microRNA precursor (90 nucleotides) under Otolemur garnettii (small-eared galago). RNAcentral's name for it is "miRNA (ENSOGAG00000024363.1)". Lineage: Eukaryota; Metazoa; Chordata; Mammalia; Primates; Galagidae. The record is from RNAcentral.